GGCUACUGCCUGGUUAAUCAGUCACUGCCCCUGGCCGGGCAAGGGGCAUUUGGUAGACCUCCUGCCUCCAAAGCCCCUUUACUUGCUCUAGAAGUGGCUAGGGAUUCAUGAUGCUGCGGACCUGUCGUGUGCUCUGCUCCCAAGCUGGACCCUCCGCUGGGGGCUGGCAGCCCUUGAGCUUUGAUGGUGGGGCUUUUCACCUCAAAGGCACAGGAGAACUGACACGAGCUUUGUUGGUGCUGCGGCUGUGUGCCUGGCCCCCUCUGGUCACACAUGGCCUGGCGCUCCAGGCCUGGUCUCAGCGACUCCUGGGCUCCCGGCUCUCAGGCGCACUUCUCCGAGCAUCUAUCUAUGGGCAGUUUGUGGCUGGUGAGACAGCAGAGGAGGUGAAGGGCUGUGUCCAACAGCUCCAGACCCUAGGCCUUCGGCCCCUGCUGGCAGUACCCACUGAGGAGGAGCCAGACUCAGCUGUCAAGACUGGUGAGGCCUGGUAUGAGGGGAACUUCAGUGCUAUGCUUCGGUGUGUGGACCUGUCACGAGGCCUGCUGGAGACCCCUGGCCCGACUGGGAACAUCCUUAUGCAGCUGAAGGUGACGGCGCUGACCAGUGCUCGGCUCUGUAAGGAGCUAACCUCAUGGAUCAGAAAACCAGGGGCUUCCUUGGAGCUGAGCCCCGAGAGGCUGGCUGAAGCCAUGGACUCUGGGCGGGAUCUCCAGGUCUCCCACCUCAAUGCCGAGCAAAACCAGCAUCUCCGGGCCUCUCUGAGCCGCUUGCACCGGGUAGUCAAGCAUGCCCGAGCCCAGCACGUGAGGCUCCUGGUGGAUGCUGAGUACACCUUCCUGAACCCGGCUCUCUCUCUGCUGGUGGAUGCCCUGGCCAUGCGCUGGAACGGCCCUGGGGAAGGCGGGCCCUGGGUGUGGAACACUUACCAGGCCUAUCUGAAGGACACACACGAGCGGCUGAGGCGGGCCGCGGAGGCCGCUGACAGGGCUGGCCUGGCCUUCGGAGUCAAGUUGGUACGAGGGGCAUAUCUAGACAAGGAGAGAGAGGUGGCUCGGCACCAUGGGACAGAAGACCCCACUCAGCCGGACUAUGAGGCUACCAGUCAGAGUUACAGCCGCUGUCUGGAGCUGAUGCUGACCCAGGUGUCCCACCGUGGCCCCAUGUGCCAUCUCAUGGUGGCUUCCCACAAUGAGGAAUCUGUUCACCAGGCGACCAAGCGCAUGUGGGAGCUGGGCAUUCCUCUGGACGGACCUGUCUGUUUUGGACAACUUCUAGGGAUGUGCGACCACGUCUCCUUGGCACUGGGUACUAAGGGGUACAGAAUUACUUUACCCUAAAUUCAGAGCCUGAGGUUUCCUGAGGCAUCUCCAUGAUGCAAAUCUGAGCUACAAAUAUAUGAGGCUAAUCCAUGGCCUCGAUCUCUCAGAGAUGGGUUUCUGUUUUCUUCUCUGCUCCACUUAUGAUCAAGGCCACCAUUCCCUGGCAGGCCGGCUAUGCUGUGUAUAAGUCCAUCCCUUAUGGUUCCCUGGAGGAGGUGAUCCCCUACCUGAUCCGGAGGGCCCAGGAGAAC
This is an RNA transcript of Leptonychotes weddellii (Weddell seal), 1573 nucleotides long. It is a transcript of the gene named proline dehydrogenase 2, with no coding region annotated. The record is from RefSeq and is a predicted model, not a curated record. NCBI's taxonomy places the organism in Eukaryota, Metazoa, Chordata, Mammalia, Carnivora, Phocidae.